Molecule: RNase P RNA, 342 nt
Filed under: Candidatus Saccharimonadota bacterium
Lineage: Bacteria; Candidatus Saccharimonadota
Description: RNase P RNA component class A
Rfam family: Bacterial RNase P class A
About the family: Ribonuclease P (RNase P) is a ubiquitous endoribonuclease, found in archaea, bacteria and eukarya as well as chloroplasts and mitochondria.
Source: RNAcentral
AGAGCCUGAAAGGCAAUCGCUUGAAGGUUUCUUUAAGAGGAAAGUCCGGGCAACAUAGAGCAAGGUAGUCGCUAACAGCGACCGUCCGCAAGGAUAGGGAAAGUACCACAGAAACAUAUACCGCCAGUUUUGGUAAGGGUGAAAAGAGUGAGGUAAGAGCUCACAGCAUACGGUAGCGAUACAGUGUGACGGCAAACCCUACUUGUUGCAAGGAGUGCUAUCAGCUUCUGCUCGAAGACGCACGCUCACCGCUAGAGUGCUAUAGCAAUGUAGCGCCAAGAUAGAUGAUUGCCGACUAUAUAAUAUAUAGUCACAGAACCCGGCUUAAUGAAGGCUCAUAUC